RNAcentral lists this ribosomal RNA (427 nucleotides) under uncultured bacterium. RNAcentral's name for it is "partial 16S ribosomal RNA". It matches the Rfam family "Bacterial small subunit ribosomal RNA", at positions 355 to 774 of the family's 1533-position model. The record is from RNAcentral.
UGGGGAAUAUUGCACAAUGGGCGCAAGCCUGAUGCAGCCAUGCCGCGUGUAUGAAGAAGGCCUUCGGGUUGUAAAGUACUUUCAGCGGGGAGGAAGGUGUUGUGGUUAAUAACCACAGCAAUUGACGUUACCCGCAGAAGAAGCACCGGCUAACUCCGUGCCAGCAGCCGCGGUAAUACGGAGGGUGCAAGCGUUAAUCGGAAUUACUGGGCGUAAAGCGCACGCAGGCGGUCUGUCAAGUCGGAUGUGAAAUCCCCGGGCUCAACCUGGGAACUGCAUCCGAAACUGGCAGGCUUGAGUCUUGUAGAGGGGGGUAGAAUUCCAGGUGUAGCGGUGAAAUGCGUAGAGAUCUGGAGGAAUACCGGUGGCGAAGGCGGCCCCCUGGACAAAGACUGACGCUCAGGAGCGAAAGCGUGGGGAGCAAACA